GCAGCAGCCGCGGGAAUACGAAGGGUGCAAGCGUUACUCGGAAUUACUGGGCGUAAGGCGUGCGUAGGUGGUGGUUUAAGUCCGUUGUGAAAGCCCUGGGCUCAACCUGGGAAUUGCAGUGGAUACUGGAUCACUAGAGUGUGGUAGAGGAUAGUGGAAUUUCCGGUGUAGCAGUGAAAUGCGUAGAGAUCGGAAGGAACAUCUGUGGCGAAGGCGACUAUCUGGGCCAACACUGACACUGAGGCACGAAAGCGUGGGGAGCAAACAGGAUUAGAUACCCCAGUAGUCCCUGUCUCUUAUAC
Molecule: ribosomal RNA, 302 nt
Filed under: uncultured bacterium
Lineage: Bacteria
Description: partial 16S ribosomal RNA
Rfam family: Bacterial small subunit ribosomal RNA
Source: RNAcentral